This 404-nucleotide ribosomal RNA is filed under the name Fusobacteriota bacterium. Its description in RNAcentral is "Fusobacteria bacterium partial 16S ribosomal RNA". It matches the Rfam family "Bacterial small subunit ribosomal RNA", at positions 355 to 776 of the family's 1533-position model. Lineage: Bacteria; Fusobacteriati; Fusobacteriota. The record is from RNAcentral.
UGGGGAAUAUUGCACAAUGGAGGGAACUCUGAUGCAGCGACGCCGCGUGAGUGAUGAAGGAAUUCGUUUCGUAAAACUCUGUUCUAUGGGAAGAAAAGGACUGUACCAUAGGAGAAAGCUCCGGCUAAAUACGUGCCAGCAGCCGCGGUAAUACGUAUGGAGCGAGCGUUGUCCGGAAUUAUUGGGCGUAAAGGGUGCGCAGGCGGCUUUACAAGUUGGAUGUGAAAUAUUGUGGCUCAACCACAAACGUGCAUCCAAAACUGCAAAGCUUGCGUUACGGAGCUGUACGUGUAAUUCCUGGUGUAGCGGUGGAAUGCGUCGAUAUCAGGAGGACUCCCGGUGCCGAAGUCGACUUACUGGACUUAACCUGACGCUCAGUCACGAAAGCGUGGGGAGCAAACAGG